GACGAACCGUGCAAACGUUGUUCGGAAUCACUGGGCUUAAAGGGCGCGUAGGCGGGCAGGCAAGUCGGAGGUGAAAGCCCGCGGCUCAACCGUGGAAGUGCCUUCGAUACUGCAUGUCUAGAGGGAGGUAGGGGCGUGCGGAACUUCCGGUGGAGCGGUGAAAUGCGUAGAUAUCGGAAGGAACACCGGUGGCGAAAGCGGCGCGCUGGAUCUCUACUGACGCUGAGGCGCGAAAGCGUGGGGAGCAAACAGG
This 253-nucleotide ribosomal RNA is filed under the name uncultured bacterium. RNAcentral's name for it is "partial 16S ribosomal RNA". It matches the Rfam family "Bacterial small subunit ribosomal RNA", at positions 524 to 776 of the family's 1533-position model. The record is from RNAcentral.